AUAGUGGAGUGGAGCAAGAUGGACAAACAAAAAGAGGAAACGUAAAGGUGGUGCAGAAAAGCGGAGAGAGAAGAGGUUGAAGUCCCUUGAGGCUGAUGCAGCCAAAUGUUUUAAAAUAACAAAUUAUUAAUUUCGCGGCGUUACCAGUCAAUCAUCUCAGCCUAGUGAGCCUGAAGGCACUGGCAGCAGAGAGAGAGAGGAGCCCGGCGAUACCAGUUCAACUGUUAGUCAAGGUUUUGCAGCUGAAUCGUGGACUCUCUCCCAAGGACUCUCUCCCGAGCAACAGAAGUUGCAACAGAGGCAAACAGGGAAAUGGCAGAAAUUGGUCAGUCUCUUCCAGGAGAGAAGCAGAGAAAAUCGGUAUUUUAUUGAAGAACAGUGAGGCCAGCUGAAAAUGACUUCCGACUGAUUGGAUGUUACAUGUCAUGAUGAAUAUAAUAUGAUGUCUGCUCAAAUCUGGCAUCGCAGCUAACAUGAAUAUGCCAUUCAUAACAGCUGAGUACUGUGUUUAUGCAGUAUAAAAAAAUCCAACAAAACAUAUCAUACUGAGUACCACUCUUCAUAUUUUCAAGCAUGGUGGUGGCCAGUGGGCCUGUCUAACUUGGGUUUUUUGCAUAAUAUGAUCAUUAUCUGGCUAAUACUGGGGGACUCAAGGGGAAAUAAAAUUGGCCGGUGUGGGGGCCUCAAGGAACUAAAGUGAUUGGUGUGUUAGAAAUACCAGGGCCGAUUUCUGGUCCCAGUCCGCCCCUGGUGGUGGCUGCAUUAUGUUAUGGGUAAGCUUAUCAUCGGCAAGGACUAGGGAAAACCUGGUUCAGUCUGCUUUCCAAUAGACAGGACAAUAACCUAAAACACAAGGCCAAAUCUACAAUGGAGUUGCUUACCACGACUACAAUGUUCCUGAGUGGCCUAGUUACAGUUCUUGUCCUAAAUCGUCUUGAAAAUCUACGGCAAGAUUUGAAAAUGGCUAACUAGCAUUGAUCAACAACCAACUUGACAGAGCUUGAAGAAUUCUAAAAAUAAUGGGCAAAUAUUGUACAAUACCCAAAAAGACUCACAGCUGUAAUCACUGUCAAAGAUGUUUCUAUCACACCUUUCAUUCAUUUGUAAUAAAUGUUAUAAUUUUUCUAACACUUUGACAGUGUUGUGUAGAUUGACCAAAAAUGUAAUAAAAUCCAUUUGAAUCCCACUUUGUAACACAACAAAAUGUGGAAAGAGUCAAGGAGUGUGUCAGAGUCGUGUGUGUAUAGGUGGCAGGGAAGUCAGGCGCAGGAGAGUCAAAUGGAGUGUAAUGGAGUCUCUUUAAUUAGCAGUCCACUAAACAUACGCCAAAUACAAAAGUGGGUACGAGGACCCGUCACCUAUACAGACAUAGAUACAACACUGACAUAAAAACAAUCUCUGACAAAGACAUGAGGGGAAACAGAGGGUUAAAUACACAACAGGUAAUGAAUGGGAUUGAAACCAGGUGUGUAGGAAGACAAGACAAAACCAAUGGAAAAUGAAAAAUGGAUCAAUGAUGGCUAGAAGACCGGUGACGUCGACCGCCGAACAAGGAGAGGCAACAACUUCGGUAGAAGUCGUGACAGAGUGUGAAUACUUUCUGAAGGCACUGUACAUGAUCUCAAUGUAACAGCCACACAGAGCAUUGAAGAGGACAUGCUCUGACAUAUCAACACCGAAGUGACUCAGGACUGCCUACUGGAAGUUACUCCAGUCCAAGGGGUAUUUCAUUAUUCUGUCAGACUGAUGAUAUUUGAUCAAUGUUUUUUUUAACUUAAAUCGGUCACACAUUAUAAUAUGAAUUAACUGAAUAAAAAGUAUCUGAAGUAAUUAACUUUAUUAGAAAAAGCCCUAUAUUAGGCUAUGUAGGCCUAGUGUUACUGUUAAUUCUACACUGAAAUUGUCACGUUCUGACCUUUAUUUUCCCUUGUUUUGUCUUUAUUUAGUAUGGUCAGGGCGUGAGUUGGGGUGGGCAGUCUAUGUUAUUUGUUUCUAUGUUUAGGUUUGUUCAUUUAGCCUGAUAUGGUUCUCAAUCAGAGGCAGGUGUUUUGCAUUGUCUCUGAUUGGGAGCCAUAUUUAGGUUGCCUGUUUGCACUGUUGGUUUGUGGGUGUUUGUCUUCUGUGUCAGUG
Long non-coding RNA from Salvelinus fontinalis (brook trout), 2130 nucleotides. RefSeq lists it as uncharacterized. The record is from RefSeq and is a predicted model, not a curated record. Lineage: Eukaryota; Metazoa; Chordata; Actinopteri; Salmoniformes; Salmonidae. The transcript has 3 exons.